Molecule: long non-coding RNA, 241 nt
Filed under: Phoenix dactylifera (date palm)
Lineage: Eukaryota; Viridiplantae; Streptophyta; Magnoliopsida; Arecales; Arecaceae
Description: long non-coding RNA (PDAC_LNC003052)
Source: RNAcentral
AUCUUAAUUUAUCUUUUAACAAGUAUUUGACAAAAAUAUGAUAAAAAAUUAGAUAUAUAAUUCAUGUAUGCCUCUAUUUAUUUCUACAUCCCUAUAUCUCAUCUAUACAGUUUUUCUAGAUAUCCAAAGCUAAGUGGACUCUAUUCAAAAAAAAUCUUUUUCCAUUUUCCAUCCAUUUCACCAACUGAUUGGACUUUUUAAAAUUACAAAAUAAACAAAAACAUUGAUAUUCCUCUCACAC